CGCAAGGAUGAGUAAAGUGGCGAACGGGUGAGUAACACGUAGCUAACCUGCCCUUCAGCGGGGGAUAACCUGGGGAAACUCGGGCUAAUACCGCAUAGCAUUCCGGCUGCACAAGCAGUUGGAAGCAAAGGCCCGCAAGGGCCACUGAAGGAGGGGGCUGCGGCCGAUUAGCUAGUUGGUGAGGUAAUGGCUCACCAAGGCGAUGAUCGGUAGCCGGCCUGAGAGGGCGCACGGUCACACUGGCACUGAAACACGGGCCAGACUCCUACGGGAGGCAGCAGUGGGGAAUUUUGCACAAUGCCCGAAAGGGUGAUGCAGCAACGCCGCGUGAGGGAUGAAGGCCUUCGGGUCGUAAACCUCUUUCGAUCGGAAAAAACGGUCCUGUGAAGAACGGGAUCUGAUGGUACCGGAUGAAGAAGCCCCGGCCAACUACGUGCCAGCAGCCGCGGUAAUACGUAGGGGGCGAGCGUUGUUCGGAAUUACUGGGCGUAAAGGGCGUGUAGGCGGUGCGAUAAGUCGGGCGUGAAAUCCCCGGGCUUAACCCGGGGCGGUCGCUCGAAACUGUCGUGCUAGAGUGCAGGAGAGGGAAGUGGAAUUCCCGGUGUAGCGGUGAAAUGCGUAGAUAUCGGGAGGAACAUCUGUGGCGAAGGCGGCUUCCUGGACUGCAACUGACGCUGAGGCGCGAAAGCUAGGGGAGCAAACAGGAUUAGAUACCCUGGU
Molecule: ribosomal RNA, 720 nt
Filed under: uncultured bacterium
Lineage: Bacteria
Description: bacterial SSU rRNA
Rfam family: Bacterial small subunit ribosomal RNA
Source: RNAcentral